AUGAAACCUGUAAAAUGUUAACCUUGGGUAAACUUCAAAAGAGGCUCAGACAGAGCAUUCAUAUGACAGGAAACAUCACUCUUGGACCAGAAAACAAUUUAGCUUCUGAGACUCUCGAUACCCAAGUGAAAAUGAGUGUGGUUUCAGAUGCCAGAUUGCCUGGGUUCAACCCCAACUGCUGUCCUUUUUGGUGCUGUAACUGUAAGCAAGGGAACUUCUUUGUUUCAACCACUUUAUUAACAAAGUGAGGAGAUCGACAGAAGAAAACCUGCCUCACACAAAUGCGCAUGACCAGCAGGACAAGCAGAUGGCCUCCAGGAAGCCCAAGACUAAGGACAACCAGAGCUUGACCCAACUUAUGUGGAUCACUGCCCAUAAAAAUGGACUUUUGGAUUAAGGAAAUGGACGUUAGGCCAAUGCCCACUCACUUUCUAAAAUGAAACAAAACUGAAUCUACUCAAAAGUGCUAUGUGGAUUUUAAAAAUGUACUUCUCAUACACAAGGUGUCUAAAUCUGAGAGCAAAUAAUCCUGUCCCAGGGUUUUUUGAAAGAAUCCUACACAGCAAGAAGGCCAGCGAUGGUGACUCUAAACUCUCUAGGAAGAAAAACAGUGAAAAUUUAAUCCCCAAUACCAAAAAAAAAAAAGGAGAGAGAGAGAGAAAGAAAAACAGUGAAAAAAGGCUAACAGAGCUCUUAAGUGUCCAGUCCUAGAUACAAUCAGUGAGCACUUAAAUCUGCUUUAUAUCAGGUUCCAUGUUGGAUUUCCUUUGAAUAAAUAUUUACAUAAUGAUGAGAGACAACAGAACUCUUAGCACCUCAGCAACAGUAUGAGUAGGGCUAAGAGGCAGCCCAAGUCUAGUCUGAUUCUCCUGCGGACUAAAAACGUUACAUAUGUCUAUCUCAGUCACCUGCUUUUAUAAAACAAAGACAAAACUGACAAUAAGCAUUAACAGAUUAUGAAAGGAAUAAAUGAUUUAUAGAAUAUACUACAACUCCCUCUCCUACUCAAAAAAUGAAAACCUAGAUUGUUCCAGGUAAUGGAGAAACUUCGACAAGGACUACUAUAACAACAGAACACUGAGAAAUGAAUUCUUAGAAACUUCCAAAUGCAGAAACCUGCUUUGGCAUAAAUUACUUCAAACACUAUGCUUCAUGAGUGAAAACACUACAAUUACUGUCAAAAGAACCAUUUGAACAGAAGUAGCUGAACAUCACUGCUGCUAUUAUAACUAGUAAAAAAGUUACAGAUUUCUAUGGCAUGUUUGAUUGGCUUUGGUUUUCCAGAUUUGAGAUUCCUGCCAUGUAAAAAUAGUUUCUCAAACAGGAUUCAGAGCAGGAAUCUACAAGAGCAGAGCAUCAAUAAAAAAGAAAACUGAAUUUGAAAAAAGAAGUAAAAAGAUAUGAAUAAAAAACAGACUGAAUAAUCUAACUCUGUGUAAUUGUUGGUUAUAGAAAAGCAGUUGUCUCUAUUAAAAAUAGAGAAAUGUCACUUGAAGAAAAAAGAUGAAAGUAGCAGAUGGCACAAGAUUCCAAAACCUAGUACAUAAACACCACUUAUGAUCAUCCUCCCAUGAAAAAUACUGAGUGGCUAGGAUGUGACUGUCUUAUUACAUUCAGAACGCUUACGUCUUUAUCUACUUUGAAGCAGAAUGAAAUGGUAAAGUAUGGGUAUAAAACAACAGCAAUUCAAUAAGUGGGAGGGAGGAUACUAGAGCUAAAAUGAAGUUAAUAAGAAAACUCUAAAAUAGUGGAGAUUUUGUACUCCAGAAACAUUGCUUAAAUGUUGAGGCAUGUGAAGGAAUUUCUGGGGUUAAUGCCAACAAAUCAUCUACUUCGUACAAUGAAGCCUGGCACUAGGAAAUAAGCCCGUAUCUCUGCACAGCAGUCUGAGUUACGUGGACAUAGAGGGUGCAACACUGAAGACUUAUAACUCAACUUUCUGUAACGAACUUCUUCCCAAAUAUUUUAUAAAUUAGAAGUGAGAAUCAUUUGUGCUAGUUGUAACUGACAUGAGAAAAUACAGACUGCAAAUUGAUUUAAGGUUACUUCAAAAUUAUGCCUUUAUGAUAAACCUUGGUAAAUACUAGUUAUCAGCAGUACUUGUUCCCUUAAAGUUGAUGUGUUUUCUUAAAUUAUUAUGAAUCUAGAAAUUAUAUGCAGGUUGAAGGUCUGUAAUUUUCAUAACUGUGUAAUUUGUGUCUAUAACAGGAAAACAGUGUUUAACACUACACUAAAUUAAAACAAAGAUUUAUAAGACCGGUA
Molecule: long non-coding RNA, 2262 nt
Organism: Heterocephalus glaber (naked mole-rat)
Lineage: Eukaryota; Metazoa; Chordata; Mammalia; Rodentia; Bathyergidae
Source: RefSeq, a predicted model, not a curated record